AACUUUAUCUGCCGGAGAUAAAUUUUUGUAAUUUCUUGUCUUUAUGUAAAAUUUGUUCAGAGACAAAAGUUCAUAAAUAUUUAUAGUUGACGAAAGAAUUAUUUACUCUUUAAAAUUAAUGUGCCAGCAUAAGCGGUAAUACAUUUAGGAAAAAAAUUUCAAAAGAAGAGAAUUUCAAAGAAAGAAAAAUUAAUAAAAAUUAAUGGUAGAAUAAUUUAGUUUAUUAAUAUUAGUAAAUAUUUGGUUUUCCACCGGAAAAACUUUAUUAAAAAUUUAUCAACCCACUGAAAAACUAGGAUUAGAUACCCUACUAUUAGAGGACCAACCAACUUCAACAGAGUAGUUGAUAAAGCUUGAAAAGGAGGCAGAAUGGCGGCAAUAAACCCGAUCAGAGAUGCAUGUUUGAACAGCGAAAACACACGGCAAAUCCAUCUCAACCUAUGUUCUUUGUCCACUGCCGUCUGAAGGAAGAUUUUGACAAAUCGUUCUUUUCCUGGAGUAAAUAUUCAUGAUUAUUUACUUAUAAAAUCCGUUGAAAAAGAUUUUAUAGAGAGGGGUAAGUCAGGUAAAGGUGCAGGAUAUGGAAGAGAAAAAAUGUGCUUCAUUACUAUUCUUACUUACUUUAAUUUGAAAUAUUAAAAGAAGAAGAAUUUGAUAGUAAGAUAAAAAAAUAAAAUUUAUCUGAAUAGGCUCUUUAUUGUGUACAAAUCGCCCGUCACUCCGUAAAAGGAUAAGUCGUAACAAAGUUAGUCUACCGGAAGGUGGACUAAGAGUUUA
This 777-nucleotide non-coding RNA is filed under the name Bothriometopus macrocnemis. Lineage: Eukaryota; Metazoa; Arthropoda; Insecta; Psocodea; Philopteridae. The record is from RNAcentral.